UGGGGGUGAUGGUGUAUGUGUGGGGGGGAGUAUGUUUGUGUGGUGGGGGUGAUGGUGUAUGUGUGGUGGGGGAGUAUGUUUGUGUGGUGGGGGUGAUGGUGUAUGUGUGGUGGGGGGUGAUGGUGGUGAUGGGGUGAUGGUGGUGGUGGUGAUGGGGUGAUAAGGUGAUGGUGGUGAUAAUGUGAUGGUGGUGAUGGGGUGAUGGUGGUGAUAAGGUGAUGGUGGUGAUGGGGUGAUGGUGGUGAUGGUGGUGAUGGUGGUGAUAAGGUGAUGGUGGUGAUAAGGUGAUGGUGGUGAUGGUGGUGAUGGUGGUGAUAAGGUGAUGGUGGUGAUAAGGUGAUGGUGGUGAUAAGGUGAUGGUGGUGAUGGGGUGAUGGUGGUGAUGGUGGUGAUAAUGUGAUGGUGAUAAU
This is a long non-coding RNA of Oncorhynchus tshawytscha (Chinook salmon), 410 nucleotides long. Lineage: Eukaryota; Metazoa; Chordata; Actinopteri; Salmoniformes; Salmonidae. The record is from Ensembl.